RNAcentral lists this ribosomal RNA (253 nucleotides) under uncultured bacterium. Its description in RNAcentral is "partial 16S ribosomal RNA". It matches the Rfam family "Bacterial small subunit ribosomal RNA", at positions 15 to 240 of the family's 1533-position model. The record is from RNAcentral.
GAUCCUGGCUCAGGACGAACGCUGGCGGCGUGCUUAACACAUGCAAGUCGAACGGAAAGAGAUGAAAGAGCUUGCUCUUUUAUUAAUUUCAGCGGCAAACGGGUGAGUAACACGUAAACAACCUGCCUUAAGGAUGGGGAUAACAGACGGAAACGACUGCUAAUACCGAAUACGUUCUAAGCAUCGCAUGGUGCAUAGAAGAAAGGGUGGCCUCUACAAGAAAGCUAUCGCCUUAAGAGGGGUUUGCGACUGG